Molecule: ribosomal RNA, 253 nt
Filed under: uncultured bacterium
Lineage: Bacteria
Description: partial 16S ribosomal RNA
Rfam family: Archaeal small subunit ribosomal RNA
Source: RNAcentral
UACCAGCACCCCGAGUGGUCGGGACGAUUAUUGGGCCUAAAGCAUCCGUAGCCGGUUUUACAAGUCCUCCGUUAAAUCCAACUGCUUAACAGAUGGGCUGCGGAGGAUACUAUAGAGCUAGGAGGCGGGAGAGGCAAGCGGUACUUAGUGGGUAGGGGUAAAAUCCGUUGAUCCAUUGAAGACCACCAGUGGCGAAGGCGGCUUGCCAGAACGCACUCGACGGUGAGGGAUGAAAGCUGGGGGAGCAAACCGG